CAGCCGCCGCGGUAACACCAGCCCCUCGAGUGGUGGGGAUGAUUAUUUGGCCUAAAGCGUCCGUAGCCGGUCAGGUAAGUUUUCCGUUAAAUCCAACGUCUCAAGCGUUGGACUGCGGGAAAUACUGCCUGACUAGAGAGUGGGAGAGGUCAGCGGUAUUCCGGGGGUAGGGGCGAAAUCCAUCGAUCCCCGGAGGACCACCAGUGGCGAAGGCUGCUGACUAGAACACGUCUGACGGUCAGGGACGAAAGCUGGGGUAGCGAACCGGAUUAGAUACCCGGGUAGUCCCAGCCGUAAACGAUGCAUGCUAGGUGUUGGGUUGGCCACGAGCCACCCCAGUGCCGCAGGGAAGCCGUUAAGCAUGCCGCCUGGGAAGUACGAUCGCAAGGUUGAAACUUAAAGGAAUUGGCGGGGGAGCAC
This 420-nucleotide ribosomal RNA is filed under the name uncultured Nitrososphaerota archaeon. RNAcentral's name for it is "bacterial SSU rRNA". It matches the Rfam family "Archaeal small subunit ribosomal RNA", at positions 459 to 879 of the family's 1478-position model. Lineage: Archaea; Thermoproteati; Nitrososphaerota. The record is from RNAcentral.